Molecule: ribosomal RNA, 654 nt
Filed under: Pseudo-nitzschia cf. delicatissima
Lineage: Eukaryota; Bacillariophyta; Bacillariophyceae; Bacillariales; Bacillariaceae
Description: eukaryotic LSU rRNA
Rfam family: Eukaryotic large subunit ribosomal RNA
Source: RNAcentral
GGGACUAGCUCAGGAUGUGAAUCUGCGCUGUAUGGCGCCGAAUUGUGGUCUAUAGACUUUGACGUUAUCUGCCGGGCCAAGUUCCUUGGAAAAGGACAGCUGAGAGGGUGAGACUCCCGUCCGCCUGGUAGAGUGAGUCGUUGUCAACGAGUCGAGUUGUUUGGGAUUGCAGCUCUAAUUUGGUGGUAAAUUCCAUCUAAAGCUAAAUAUUGGUGGGAGACCGAUAGCGUACAAGUACCGUGAGGGAAAGAUGCAAAGAACUUUGAAAAGAGAGUUAAAGAGUACCUGAAAUUGCUGAAACGGAAGCGAAGGAAACCAGUGUUUGUUGGUUCAUAUUUCCCUGGCCACUUGUGGUUUGGGCGCUGUGAGCUUGCGUGGGUUUGCUUUGGUUGAUCCCUUUGGAAGAGCGCAGUCAGAGUUGAUGUCUGUUGCUAGCACUGGGUUUGACUAAUGCAGACGAAAUGGUUUUCUUUACCCCGUCUUGAAACACGGACCAAGGAGUCUAACAUAUGUGCGAGUACAGGGGUGUCAAACCCCGGUGCGUAAUGAAAGUGACAGUGGUUGGAUAUUUGCACAAUCCGCCGGCCUCAAUCCUUCGGGAGAACGGUCUGAGUGUGAGCAUACAUGUUGGGACCCGAAAGAUGGUGAACUAUG